RNAcentral lists this long non-coding RNA (1104 nucleotides) under Sorghum bicolor (sorghum). RNAcentral describes it as "long non-coding RNA (SBIC_LNC015554)". Lineage: Eukaryota; Viridiplantae; Streptophyta; Magnoliopsida; Poales; Poaceae. The record is from RNAcentral.
UGGGCCUUUCUUCCUUAUUUCCUGAUAACCCCCUGCAGAAAUAGAUAAACAACAAAACUCGUGGAAUUCUGUCAGAUCAAACCCUAAUUUUAGGUGUGAGUUGCAUAUUGGUCCUUUCUCUUGUUUAUUUGAUAAUUAAAAUUGAUACUUAAGAACCGUCAACAAAUACCCCCAUACUUAGGCUUUUACUCGUCCUCGAGAAAAGGAUGGUUAAGAACAAUAUCUGGGGUAAACAUUUAAAACAUUCUCUCUUUAUAUAAUUGCAGGGUGUUAAAAUUCCACUGUGUACCAUAGUCAGGAAGUAUAUGGUUAAGAGUUAAGAUCCUUUCUUCUCAAUCCUGUCACUUGGAGUUUUUGUAUAUUUUUGAAAGAAAGUUAGCAUACCUUUUUAUCCUCAUAGGUUCUCUCAGAUCACUCAUUAUCUUUUAUAUAUAUAUAUAUAUAUCUCACUAAGGCUGUUUUAAUUUUGCAAAAAUUCUCAAGCAUACUUACUUUGCAUUUAUUGCCUGAUCAGAACGGGAUCUGAGGAGGGAAAUGUCAUACUCUUAGAUCGAAGAGUUUGGAAAUUAAAAUCUUUGUCAACUCUUGCUGGCAUAUUGCUUAUUAGAGGGACCAUGGGCUAUCAUUUUUUUUUCUCUCUCUUUUUUUAAGUGGAUACCGAGGUACCCCUAAUUCUACUGCCGGACACUUGUCCAUUUUUUCUGCGAGGUUGUCGAGCACUUGCUCCUUUUUAUUUCCUCGAAAUAUUUCUAUUUUUGCAUAGCCCAUGCCUCUAAUGCAAUAAUACUUCGGAAGAGUGAAUCUUACUGAAAUAAAUGUCUUGAUCUUGGGAGCAUGAUAAAUCUCUCAACAAGGGUCUAACUCAUUUUGAACAAACUCGAUACAGAGUAGAUAGCUUUAUAAUCAUAAUUUAUAUUUUCAGUUUUAUCAGGCAUAUAAAACACUGAGGAUGGUAGCUAGAAUUUUGAAUAUUUUGAAAUAAAUUCUCCAAGCAACAAUGAUAUCAAGAAUAAGAAACUCAUACUCUACCAUCACAUAUUCCAUAAUGACUUAAGUAACAUAGGGUUUUAAAAUGAUUUUAUAAUAAUUGCAAGUUUUCAGGAA